RNAcentral lists this ribosomal RNA (511 nucleotides) under Thalamita longifrons. RNAcentral describes it as "partial 16S ribosomal RNA". It matches the Rfam family "Bacterial large subunit ribosomal RNA", at positions 1832 to 2590 of the family's 2925-position model. Lineage: Eukaryota; Metazoa; Arthropoda; Malacostraca; Decapoda; Portunidae. The record is from RNAcentral.
GGCUAUUAGGAAAUAUUUAUAGUCUAGCCUGCUCACUGAUAUUAGUAUUAAAUAGCCGCGGUAUCUUGACCGUGCAAAGGUAGCAUAAUCACUAGUUUUUUAAUUGAAAACUCGUAUGAAUGGUUGGACAAAGAAGAGACUGUCUCUUUUAUUAAGAUUGAAUUUGACUUUUAAGUGAAAAGGCUUAAAUUUUUCAAGGGGACGAUAAGACCCUAUAAAGCUUUAUAAAUUUAGAGAUCUUAUAUAUUUUUAUAUAGCUGUAAUUUCUUAAAUGUUUAUUUGGUUGGGGCGACAAUAGUAUAAUAGAAGUAACUGCUUUUAGGUAGUACAAGCUUAUUUGAGUAACACCGUUAAUUGAUCCUUUAUAAAGAUUUAAAGACCAAGUUACUUUAGGGAUAACAGCGUUAUUCUUUCUGAGAGUCCUUAUCAAAGGAAGAGUUUGCGACCUCGAUGUUGAAUUAAAAUGUCUUUAUGGUGCAGCAGCCAUAAGAGAAGGUCUGUUCGACCUUAA